UACGAGAGGCCCAAACGUUAUUCGGAAUCACUGGGCUUAAAGGGUGCGUAGGCGGCUUAUCAAGUAGGGUGUGAAAGCCCCCGGCUUAACCGGGGAAUUGCGCCCUAAACUGACGAGCUGGAGUGGGACAGGGGUGUGUGGAACUUCCGGUGGAGCGGUGAAAUGUGUUGAUAUCGGAAGGAACGCCGGUGGCGAAAGCGACACACUGGGUCUCAACUGACGCUGAGGCACGAAAGCCAGGGGAGCGAACGGG
Molecule: ribosomal RNA, 253 nt
Filed under: uncultured bacterium
Lineage: Bacteria
Description: partial 16S ribosomal RNA
Rfam family: Bacterial small subunit ribosomal RNA
Source: RNAcentral